UUCCAAAGGACCUGAGCUUGAUCCCCCACU
This 30-nucleotide non-coding RNA is filed under the name Rattus norvegicus (Norway rat). Lineage: Eukaryota; Metazoa; Chordata; Mammalia; Rodentia; Muridae. The record is from RNAcentral.